Non-coding RNA from Lactuca sativa (garden lettuce), 1300 nucleotides. The record is from RefSeq and is a predicted model, not a curated record. NCBI's taxonomy places the organism in Eukaryota, Viridiplantae, Streptophyta, Magnoliopsida, Asterales, Asteraceae.
GAAGUAUCAACUUUUAAAAGUAAAUUCCCCAUUUUCUCUAAACUCUGUAUCUCGGAAAUCAUGUUGAUCCAUCCGUUACUUGUUUGAUUUCCCGUCGCCGCUGCGGCCUUCUUCCGCCGGGACGCUGCCGCAGUCACUGUUCAUCAGAAACUCCUCCAUUUUGCUUGACUUCUGAAGAAUAAGGUUUUUUCUCUUGAACGACCUUCAAUGUCUUUACGCAGACCUCCACUUCCUCGAUUACUUCUCAACAACGUUUCUUGCAUGAGAAACGCUCAACAAAUCUUACGCCAUACAAACAUCUCAAUUCACGAUGGUGGAGCCCUAGUACUCACCGGAGCAAAUGGCUCCGGCAAGUCUACCUUCUUACGAAUGCUGGCCGGAUUCUCCAAACCAUCAGCCGGUGAGAUCCUAUGGAAUGGCCAUGACAUAACUGAGUCAGGAGUUUUCCACCAAUACAAACUUCAACUCAACUGGCUCUCACUCAAAGAAGCCAUUAAAUCCAACUUCACUGUUCUUGACAAUGUUCAAUGGUUUGAAGUUCUUGAAAGUAAACAAGGAAAAUCUUUACCUGCUCUUGAGUUCAUGGGGCUUGGAAGACUUGCCAAUGAGAAAGCACGGAUGCUUUCAAUGGGUCAAAGAAAAAGAUUGCAGCUUGCAAGAGUUAUGGCCAUGGAUAGACCGAUUUGGCUGCUUGAUGAACCUUCUGUUGCUUUAGAUGAUGAAGGUGUGAAGCUUUUGGAACAGAUGAUUGCAGAUCAUAGGAGCCAGGGUGGAAUAGUCAUUGUAGCUACACAUCUCCCCAUUGAGAUUCAAGAUGCUAUGAUCUUGAGAUUGCCUCCCAGGUUUCCAAGAAGGAUAACUUUAGUAGACAUGCUUCCUCAUUGAGGUAAUUAAUCAAUGAUGUUAGUGAUUUGAGGGGAUAAUAUCCCUAGUCGUAAACUUUAAUAAGGAACGAGGCUUGGUAUGAAAGGGAAGGGGUCGGCUUGGACCAAGAGUAAAAGAUUUAUAAUGUUUAUCUUUUAUGUUCAUCUUGGUAGCUUGACUCAUGCUCUUAGUAAUGUUUUUGUAUGUAUGUGUUGAGCAUGUGGUACAAAUAUGUAGUCUCUUAUGAGGAAAAGUUCAAUAUAUUUGAGAAUGAUUUACUAUAUAUUGUAACCUUAUCAAAGAAUUUUUUUGGAUGUAUUUUUCGAUUAUUGUGGUGUUAUGUGUUCUUUAGUUUCUUGUGAUAGUUUAUCAUGUAAUAAACUUCAUUUCAUUGAAUUGAUGUCAUGUUUGUCAAUUAGGAAAAUGUGUUUGUUUA